Molecule: long non-coding RNA, 1657 nt
Filed under: Monomorium pharaonis (pharaoh ant)
Lineage: Eukaryota; Metazoa; Arthropoda; Insecta; Hymenoptera; Formicidae
Description: uncharacterized LOC114255058, transcript variant X2
Source: RNAcentral
AUUAUCCCGAGCUACCCUGCGCUUCGAGUCGUGCGUCGUCUCCCGCACACUCCACUCCAGUGACGAAGUAGUGCUUUUCAAGUAAAAGCGAACUUUGCGUGCAGGAAAACUCAGAAUCAUUGGUGUUCCACGAAGAACCACCCAAGUACCUGAUUGACGUUUACAUCUGUGUUUCUCCCCUACUGAAACUUUCUGGCUCAGACGAUUUCAUCACCUAGGCAUCAAAAUGUAUUUUCUACAUUCGCAAACUUCGCAGUUGGAUAUCUUUUCUGCCAACGCGUUGCCAUUUCUUAUGAGGAUCAAAUCGAUAAAACAUAGUAUAUGCUAAGAAAAUGUUUCGUAUAUAAUUAAUAGACCGAUCGAUAUAGAAUCAAGACAAUAUUAACACAAGCAAAAAAAGCCAGCAGUUUCUACAAAGCGUUAAAACCGACUGUAACGUGCAGUAGUCAGAGACAGAAUCACUGCCUCUGACCGAGGUUUGUGGAUGUUCGGUAAGUAAUCUGUAGCAUCUUGGUAAGUUACCGUUGGUGCAAUUCAAAAACCUGUAAGUACCACCCUCAUCAAUAAUCCCGUUCGUAUGCCACGAUUUAAUUAGAUUAUUGGGCUUAUUAGUGAUAAUCUUAAUAACAUCAAUUUGCAAAAAGAUACUUAAAAUCUUAAUGCUAUGUACGACAUAUUUAUAAGAAUUGUGUAAUUACUUCUGACUAGUUAUUUUUAACCAUAUCUUUAAUUUAUGUUAUUGUAUUAAUGUUGUUAAACUUGACAUUCUCACUUUCAACGAUCCUCUUUCCAAUGACAAAAGUUGUGGAGUACAGACAUACUUUCCAACACGUAUCCCAAAACAACACUUAAUGUACUUUUGCGAAUUUGUAAUAGAUUAAUAUUCGAUGUGAUCAACGUAAUUUAUACAAGCAAGUAUUGAUAUUAAUUAAAAUCUCUUAUUUUGUAAUGACAGUUUUGUGAAUUAUUCCGUGAUUUAUACGUUUUUUGUAAAUUGUAGAUACACUUAAUAAGGGCCAGAAAUCGGCCGAAAUAUUGUGUAACUUUUCAACAUUUGAAAUAAAAUUGCCAGAAUUGUCAUUAAAUUGCCAUUCAAAAAAAAAAGACUUUGUUGCCCUAAAAGAUUAUGUAUUAUAUAUUGAAUUAGGCUCUAAUAAUCGGAAAUGUAGCUGAUGCUCUUCCUCUUCUCUUUCCACCGCUCCCAUUCUCUUUAUUCCUCUUUCCUGUUUCCAUUCCGUUUAAGUAAGAUAAGUAAUUGGACACUCGAAAGUAGUUGGAUGAAAUGUUUUUACGUUCGUUUCACUGUCAUCAAUCUUACGUACAUAAAUAAUUUGAUAUUAUAAAGUUCAUGAUUUUCUAAUAUAAUAUCCACAAUUUUCAGGCGAAUUGUGUACUGCGAAAUGUGUAGUACUGCACAAAAUGUAGUAGUACCUACAAAUAUUAAUUUCUAUGUUUAAAGAUAAUGACCACAUUAAACAUAUCCGCUUAGGCUUAAUUUAGUGUUUCGUAUUAAGGAAUUGUUUUUGAUACUUUACAAUACAAUCCAGAGGGAGCCGAAAUCGUGGCUUAUCGAUUCUCCUUUUUAAAUUAUAUCUUCAAUAUUUAAAGAUUACAAUAAAUUUAUGUUAUUCUUUGAACAGUCUAAAACUACACCUAA